RNAcentral lists this non-coding RNA (88 nucleotides) under Paenibacillus sp. Its description in RNAcentral is "c-di-GMP sequence". It matches the Rfam family "c-di-GMP-I riboswitch aptamer". Rfam says of the family: GEMM was predicted in a large-scale screen for bacterial structured RNA regulatory elements. The record is from RNAcentral. Lineage: Bacteria; Bacillati; Bacillota; Bacilli; Caryophanales; Paenibacillaceae.
GUUCGAUAAUAGCAAAACUGAUGAAAAUCAGUGACGCAAAGCUAAAGGGACUGAAUUGGAACAUUCAAUAUGUCAGCCAGCUGCCGAA